UCAUCAAAAUUUUAAGACACUUGAGGGUUAGGAUAGGGAUUUCACCAAUGCAAAUUCAUUACAGCCCUGUAAAUGAAUCGUCCGACUAUUAAGCAAAUGGUGUCGUUUAGUUUUACCGGAUUAGAUUAAUCAAUCGGUACAAAGUCAUCAAGAGCAGGAAACAUGUACGUAACUGAGGACAGAUUGAUAAUGGUGGAGUUCGUUGUCAUCCAAAAGCAUGUUUUCAUCUUGUUCAUCUCCAAUUCCUAUAGGAAAGAGAUCCAAGGCGAUGGUGUGUAUAAGUUUGUUAUCCUUUCUCUUCUUUACAAAGCACACACAACCCUAUGUAGAGAGAGACCGAGUGAAAAGGGGAGUCGGCCAACAGUUUUCCGGCGAACCCCUACGUUUCCAAGUAUACCGGUGAUUAAGAACCAGGCUGUGGCGACGAUUUGCGAUUUAAUUACCGGCAACCAGCUACAUAUCUGAUGUUUUUGGUAAGUGUAAGUAACUACUUUUCCAACCAUGUGUCAUGCCCUGUCAUGAUAGUUAAAGGCACUACUUAAAAGAACCUUGGCCUCCUUCUAGAAGAGCUUCAAUGGAGGAUUCUGGACGACAUACGAGACAUUAUAUAACGUGUGCUGCAUAUUGUUUGUACUCUGCAAGCAGCACUCUUCAGUCCUAAUAUAAGGGUGAGUGUAUCUGUCGUUUAUGACGCUUAAUCUGUCGUACAUUGUUUGUGAUAUGUUUUUUAUUUUUGUGUUGUACAUUGUCAUUUGGGGUAUGCUUCAUUUGUUAUACAUUGUUGUUUGAGAUAUGCUUAGAUGGUUGUACAUUUGCUUUUUUUGAUGCAUGCUGUUUAUGUAUUAUCUAUUGAACAGAUAUACACAAAUAUAAUUUACAUCAUUGAUGAACUGCAACACCUUAAUCUUUCAAGCAUUCAUAUGUACAUUUCAAGAACAACUCAUCCACCAAGUCAAUUGCUUUGUUGCUUCAACCUUCAUUACUAUAGUCACAUUUUUCACAUUCUCUUAGCCAAACCAUUAUCUCGGUUUCCACAGUUGUUAAAAUGUUUGUUAAAGUCAAAAAAGUCCUCAUACCUUUUGAACCCUCAAGGCUAUUAUGCAUUUUUCUUGAAUUUUUGUUCAUAUUGUUUUACUGUAGCUUGGUUCUCAUUUGUCAUGUGACUUGUGAUUUUAAGUUAACUAAUUUACAUCAAAAUCGUUUUAAGGCUUAAGGUUUGAGUUAUGUUUUCGCCCCAUACUGUCGACUCCGCUGCAACGCGCGGGUUCCCCACUAGUUCCAAUAAACUAGUAAAAGGAUAACUUUAUUUGAAUCAAGAUAGAUCAAAAUGAUAUUUUUGUAAUAGCCGGGUCCAUUUUGAAAGCUCUUAAAAUGCAGAGGGUGAUUAUAGUAAAAUUCGAAUUAGGGUAACCUCACACUUUCUAUUUAAAUUAGCCUAAUUCCAUUUCCAUCAUAAUCACCGCCGCACCCUUUCUUCUCCCGUCCAUCGACAUCCCCGACCAUAAAGAUGACAUCUCUUAUUCAGUACCAAUGUAAGAGCUUUUAUUUUCAUUUUAUCUAAUUUGAUUUACCUCAUAAUCUUACUUUACAUUUUUAAAAAUCAUUGCUUGUUUUCAAAGUACCAAUUUAUUUUUGAUUUAACUAAUUUUAAAGACAUAUAUGCUUUGAUUUUGUUGGUGAUAAUGUAACAUAUAUGCGUACUAACUCAGAUCAGUUUUCAAAAUGAAGAAAUUCGUUACCAAAUACAUUUAUAGGAAUUUUGAUUUUCUACAAGCAUGUUCUAGCCUAGAUCUAUAAACAAAUGAAGAAGAAUUUGUCACAGAUUUUUUGUUCCUUAUUUUGCCGUGUAGUUCCAAGGAUUUUUUGUUUUCUGCUUGUUUUGUUGGUUUUAAAUGUUAGGUUUGGUGUUAUUCACCCAUCUCACAUCACAAAUGGAUUUGUCUAAUCAUUUUGGUGUAGACUAUAGCAUAUUGAUCGUUCAUAGCGUUUCAAGUAUCUCAAAUGAGAAAGGUUUAAAUUUGAUGAUGAAAGUACGUGUUACCAAAGAAGAAGAUAUGAAGAGAGUAUUGUUUGAUCUUUAUGGAGGCAAGAAGGUAAUUUGGUGGAUGAUAUAGGUGAUUUAUAAGAAUACACUUUACAUAAACUUAUACUUGAUUCAUGUAUUAUGUAUUAUUAUGAAUUAGUUACAUGAAGCUAACCUUGGGGUCAAUUCUACUCCAUCUGAUUAUACAAAGAAUUCAAAUGCAUGUAUGCUUGUGUAUACGUGAAAGUGAGAAGGCUAAAAUACUCUGUAAGGUGGAUGGGACGGAUAUGGCAGAGCACCUUAGAAUAAGAUUGAAGAAAGAAGAGGCACAUCUGUAUACAAACAUAAAGGAUGCUUGAGAUGGGGAUCUUCAUAAACAGAUUGGGAAACUAGGUUGCUUGAGAUGGGAUCUUCAUAAACAAAUUGGGUUGGUCAGGGGAAGCGUACUUGUGCCAUGUGUCGCACUGCAAUUCCUCUUAAAAUGGCUAGUCAACCAAGAAUCAAUUCAUCACUUGUAAUUGCAAUUAGAAUGGCAAAGAUGACUAGAUCAAACUGCCCUCAUGAUUGUUAUAGUUUUAGCAUAUGAAAAUUGUAAAACGGAUUCUAAUCAUAUGCGUUGGAUCAUAAUUUUGCAGCAAUGAAAAUGGAGCCCGCCCGACACCUUGCCUGUCUUUAAGGAGCUGAAGGAUGCAAGUGAUGUGAUAGAGAGGAAGGGAUCCACAUCUUGGGGUUAUGAUUGCAACUCUUAUCUUUGAGGUGGAGCUGGUGGCUUGUAGGCCAAGAAAAGGUUCUAGCAUGCCAGCGCCUUAGAUGAAGGGGCUAGACUAGAUGAGCUGAAGAGGCAAAGGGAAAUGGUUGCUGCACUGAAGGAAGAAGA
Helianthus annuus (common sunflower) is the source of this 2900-nucleotide long non-coding RNA. RefSeq lists it as uncharacterized. NCBI's taxonomy places the organism in Eukaryota, Viridiplantae, Streptophyta, Magnoliopsida, Asterales, Asteraceae. The transcript is spliced from 9 exons. The record is from RefSeq and is a predicted model, not a curated record.